AUUGAACGCUGGCGGCAUGCCUUACACAUGCAAGUCGAACGGUAACGGGCCUUCGGGUGCCGACGAGUGGCGAACGGGUGAGUAAUACAUCGGAACGUGCCCGAUCGUGGGGUAUAACGAGUCGAAAGCUUUGCUAAUACCUCAUACGAUCUACGGAUGAAAGCAGGGGACCGCAAGGCCUUGCGCGGACGGAGCGGCCGAUGGCAGAUUAGGUAGUUGGUGGGAUAAAAGCUUACCAAGCCGACGAUCUGUAGCUGGUCUGAGAGGAUGAUCAGCCACACUGGGACUGAGACACGGCCCAGACUCCUACGGGAGGCAGCAGUGGGGAAUUUUGGACAAUGGGCGCAAGCCUGAUCCAGCCAUGCCGCGUGCAGGAUGAAGGCCUUCGGGUUGGAAAAUGCUUUUGUACGGAACGAAAAGCAUUCUUUUAAUACAGGAGGGUCAUGACGGUACCGUAAGAAUAAGCACCGGCUAACUACGUG
This 482-nucleotide ribosomal RNA is filed under the name uncultured bacterium. Its description in RNAcentral is "partial 16S ribosomal RNA". It matches the Rfam family "Bacterial small subunit ribosomal RNA", at positions 30 to 507 of the family's 1533-position model. The record is from RNAcentral.